RNAcentral lists this unclassified non-coding RNA (350 nucleotides) under Hevea brasiliensis (rubber tree). The record is from RNAcentral. Lineage: Eukaryota; Viridiplantae; Streptophyta; Magnoliopsida; Malpighiales; Euphorbiaceae.
GGUGCCCAUAAUGGAGGCUACUUUAUUACUACGCGUAGUUACCAAGAUCUUGCUUCCAUUAGCACCCGUACACAAAAGCUCUUUCAAUUCAUUCCAUUUCAUGAGGUCAUCAUUCCAUACAUCAUCUAAGAUAAGCAAAUAUUUCUUAUCACCAAUGAUUUCUUGCAAAAAUCUUUGUAAUUGUUCCAUUUCCAUUUUACUCAACUUUUCCACACCAUGUUUCUUUCCCUCCUCUGUACAUUUAAUAAUUUUCUUUGUCAAUUUUCUUAUGUCAAAGUCUUCUAAUACACAAACCCACAUCUUAAGUUCAAAUUGAUUUUGCACUUGUUCAUCAUUAUAAACUAAUUUAG